Molecule: regulatory RNA element, 84 nt
Organism: Tatumella morbirosei
Lineage: Bacteria; Pseudomonadati; Pseudomonadota; Gammaproteobacteria; Enterobacterales; Erwiniaceae
Rfam family: Peptidase-S11 RNA
About the family: Enterobacteria. Environment (Termite gut, fungus grower)
Source: Rfam
CGUAUGAUGCUGCCGCCAGCGGCAUAAAAUCGGCUAUGGCUCCGCGGCCUGUGCCUGCACAGCAUUAAAUACAUUCAGGUAUCU